UAAGACAGAGGUGCCAAGCGUUAGGCGGAAUCACUGGGCUUAAAGCGUGUGUAGGCGGACUUCUAAGUACCUUGUGAAAUCCCACGGCUCAACCGUGGAACUGCUUGGUAUACUGGUUGUCUUGAGCCACUUAGGGGCUACCGGAACAAAUGGUGGAGCGGUGAAAUGCGUAGAUAUCAUUUGGAACGCCAAUGGUGAAAACAGGUAGCUGGGAGUGUGCUGACGCUGAGACACGAAAGCCAGGGGAGCGAACGG
Molecule: ribosomal RNA, 255 nt
Filed under: uncultured prokaryote
Description: partial 16S ribosomal RNA
Rfam family: Bacterial small subunit ribosomal RNA
Source: RNAcentral